This is an RNA transcript of Metopolophium dirhodum (rose-grain aphid), 13363 nucleotides long. It is a transcript of the gene named longitudinals lacking protein-like, with no coding region annotated. The record is from RefSeq and is a predicted model, not a curated record. NCBI's taxonomy places the organism in Eukaryota, Metazoa, Arthropoda, Insecta, Hemiptera, Aphididae. The transcript has 8 exons.
CUCUUGCUUUGUUUCGUACUUGAUGUGAAGUCGGACGGUCGUGCUCGCUGCUCCGCCACUUAAAAAAAAUCAAACGACCCCCGCUAAAACGUUGUUGAUAAUAUUACAUAUUCUUCACAGUCUCGCAUCAGACGCACGUUACAUAACUUGAAAAGUAUUUAUUUAUUUAUUAACUGUUUUUAUUUACGACAAUUAUUUUGUUUUUUUUUUUUUAAAUGACUUGAUAAAAGUUAACUCAGUAUUAAACCAAAAAUAAAACGCGCAUUGUUAUUCGUUGUUUAACGAUAAUUUUUUUUUUUUACUAAAGUUGUAAAUGUUGUUUAAAUUUUAAGUACUGUGAUAAGCAUGGCGGGAGACAACCAACAUUUUUGUCUGCGCUGGAACAACCACCAAAGCACGUUGAUCAGCGUAUUCGACACGUUGCUGGAGAGCGGCACGUUGGUCGAUUGCACGUUGGCGGCUGAGGGUCAAUACCUAAAAGCCCACAAAGUCGUAUUGUCGGCAUGCAGCCCAUACCUAGAGCUUUUAUUAAGCCAACAUUAUGAAAAGCAUCCGAUCGUCAUACUGAAGGACGUUAAGUUCCAAGAACUAAAAAGUAUGAUGGAUUACAUGUACAGGGGGGAAGUUAACAUUUCCCAAGACCAGUUAAGCACGUUCCUGAAAGCUGCAGAAUCUCUGCAGAUCAAGGGUCUGACUGAUGGUGGUGGCAAUGAAGACAGCACAGCCUCUUCAGCACCGGUUAAGGCACCUGUUGCCACUCCGGUCAGAAAACCAAUUCAACAGUCAGUCACACGUGGUCCAUCUACAGUAGCACAGGGUUUAACGAUAGAGAGGAGGCCAGAAAGUCCACACAUCAGGUCUCGUGAUGAUAGUGCCUCACCUACUAGAAAACGCAGGCGCAACCAGCGUAGGCCGUCGACAAGUGACGAUCCUGACAGUCAUAUUGAUACAAGCAACUCCUGUGAUGUACCGCCCCUUCAGUCCGGAGCCCUGAGCGGCGUCGGUGUUCCUAACAUUCCUGCCACCAUAACCAAAGGUGCGCCGUUGGAUGACGGUGAUCAUGAGACUGAUAACAGCCGCAUCAACAACCACGAUGCAUCAGCUGCUGAAGGUGUGGCAGGACCAAAGAUCGAACCGACUGGUGAACUGAUUGAACCUAAGACUGAGUAUUUGGAAGAUAUGAACAACGAAGACAGUAUAGAAGACUUGACAUUGGAUGAUGAUGACGAUAUGGACAAUAGUAUGGACAUGUCAAGAGCUGGACCAUCACAUGACAACUCUAACCAAAGUUUUAAUCAAUGGCCAAUGUCUGGAAACCAAACCACGGAUGAAGUGUUUAUGAAUGCACAAGAAGCAGUUGGAGCUCACAGGGAUACUCAAGUUAGUCGAUAUUAUAAUAACAGUGCCAAACAGAAAUAUUUUGGUGAAGACGCAUUUAAGUGUACCCAAUGUGGGCGUACAUACCGUCGAAAGAAAAAUAUAUUUGGAUUCAGAAUAAUGGAAAAUUGUAUAACUGCCCAAACAAGAACUGUCACCGCAAUUAUAAAACUAAACCAGGCUUAUACAACCAUUUAAAAUAUGAAUGCAAUGUACCGCCAAAAUACCAUUGCAAUAUUUGUAACAAAAAAUUUAAACAACCAGGAAACUUUAAAAUCCACAUGAAAUCACUUCAUUUUGUAACAUUAAUUAAAAUUUAAAGAUUUAAUACAUUUUUAUUGAAAAUUGCACAUAAUCCAUGUGAUACUAUAUUUUCUUAGGAGAACACACUGGUGUUUUCUGAGUCAGCUGUUAACACACCACAUAGGAGAUUAACAUUCUGCAUACAAAAUAUUAUUUUGAUUUUUAAUAUUUAAAUAAAUUUACAUUUUCAAAUGUAAAGUUAGGAAUAUUUUCAAAGAUUUAUUACUAUAAUUUUUCUAUAUUAUAAAAUAUUAUUCUUAAUAAACGAUUGUGUUUUUAGAACAAAAAUAUGUUGAAAACCCAAGAUGGUGAGCCAUUUAAAAAUUGUAUGAUUGUUGAUGUAUACCCCUUAAAUUGAAAAUAUCAAACUAUUGAUUAUUCAGAGUAUACAUUUCCUGUGUAUGAGAGAGAUAUCAUAAGAGUAUAUCUUUGUAUUAUAGUAUAAUGUAUUUAUUAAUUAUUACCAUGAUUUUUCUAUAUUGUAAAUAUUAAUUUGUUACUCUGUAUUUAUUUUGUAUGGAUAAACUAUGAUAAUUCUAUAUCUAUAUAGUUUUAAAUUUAUGCAUACAUAUUAAUUGUUUUUACUCAUCAAAAGAUACUAUAUAUUAUAAUCAUAAUUUGAACUUGUUAUUGUAAUUUAGUUGUGCAAUUUAAAAUGAUCAAAUUGUGAAAUUGUUUUGUUCUUUACUGCUUAGUAAGAGUAAUCUUACUGUAAUUGUAAAGAUAUCUUAUAGAAUUAACUGAAUAUUGUCUUACUGUUGUAUUUUGUUGUAAUUUCUUAGUUUUGUAAUUGUUUAAAUAUAUAUCUGUUCUGUUUAAAUUAAAAAUUGAAUUACCUUUGUAAUAUAUAUUACUCAAAUGUUAGUCUGAUUUAAGAAUUAAUAAUAACUAAUCACAUUAAUGUAAGAUUCGUCAAACUUAUUUAGCAUAAUUUAUUUUAAGCUUUUUUUUUGUGAAUAAAGCAAUUUUUUUAUAAUUUUUAACUUAGAAUAGUUUAAGAAUAUGCUUUUUAAACUGUAUUUCUUCAUUUUGGCACUUAAUUAAAUUAUAACAGUGCAUGGUUUAUUCUUAGAUUAUUUUCACAUUAACUUACUAACAAUAUAUUAUUAUUUUGCAGCUAUGCCAUUAUUAUUCAACCCAAAAUCUGGUAGAAUGAACAAAUAUCCUGGUCCAUCUUCAGAUGGUCUUUUUUAUUGUACAAACCAAUGUGGUAAAAAGUAUAAAUCUAAACAAGCUAUCAGUGUACAUAUGCGUUAUGAGUGCGGUGUAAAACCCAAGUUUUACUGUCAAGAAUGUAACAAAUAUUUUAAACAACCUGUCAGCUUCAAAGCACAUCAAAUGAAUGUCCACAAGUACGUAGUUGAAUAUACACAGUUUAAGUGCUCUAAGUAGUAUCAUACUUACAAUAAGUUUAAAACAAUUUUAAUUAACUGUUUUAUUAAUUUAUCCUAAUGUAGAACUUCCAAAGUGUACAUGGGAAGUUCUACAAGUAAAAAAAAGUCUGAUAUAAAAUAUGUAUGAUUUUGAUGUGAAUUAAUAACAUUUAUAAUAAAAAAAUCUUUUAGGUCUAGGGAUUUAAUUUUUUUCUUAGAUACCUCAAUUUUAAAAUAAUAUGAAUAGAUAACACUUUUUCAUAAUUUUAAAAUUGAACCCGAACUCUUGAUAAUAACUUGUUGGUUUAAGAAAUUAAUAAAAUAGUUUUUUUUAUUGAAGUUACUAUAUAAUUACAUAACCGGGAUUGACAAAUCCUAUUUUUAUUUAUAUAGCAAAACUUAUUGAUUUAUCAAUAUCAUACCAUUUAAUUUUCUAUAUUUGUAUACAUUUUGAACGGUUUUACACAUUAUAUAUCACCAACAAUGUAUAAUUUAAAUACAUUUUUUCAAUUAUAAUUAAAAAAUCUGUAAAGUAUUAUUAACAUCAAAUAUGUAUAUAGAAAACUGCCAUUUUAUAAACAUUUAUAAUUUUUAUUACUUACCUAUGUAAACAUAAUAUUUUAUAGGUAUGUAUUGUUUUGGAUGUUUUUAAUGUUUAAACUGGUCCAAUAUCUGUAUUAUACAUUCCUAAUAAAUGCUAUUUUAUUUUAAUUUUAUAUUUAUUCAUAUAAAGUCUGUUGUAAUGUAACAGAUGUUCUAGUCUCAAUUCAUUAUUUAACAUAAACAUAAUAUCAAAUUUUAGUGAUUUAUCACUUAACCGGGUUAUAUAAAGAACAAAGUAUUGUAUGUAAUGGUACCAAUGAAGAUACUAAUUUUUUCAAGUGGUAGAUAUGAGAAAAUGUUCAACAUUUGUUGGUGGUGUUGGGAUAUAAAGGGGUUGAUAACCACUGGCUUGGAUGGACCAAGGAUGCUUUGUAAAUUUAUGUGGCAUAUUCUGCCACUUAACUCUUCUUAGCUAACCUUUGAAUAAAAUGUUUAUAAAUAAGCACCUUUUAUUCUACAUUGGGUAUCAGAUAUACAUUGUCCUUCACAAUAUGCAGUAUAGUUUUUAAUUAAAAAGAGUUAAUUAUGAAACCUUAACAAUUAGUAAGUACUUACUUCAAACUAUAUAAAUAUAUUUUUCAAAAUCUCGACAAUUGAUUUAAUAAAUGCCAACUAUCCAUUUAAUGCUUAUAUUUUUGGUAUUUCUUUAAAAAUUUAAAAAUAAUAACACAUUCAACGCCGCCCGUGAUUUCAGAAAUGACGGAAAUAACAAAAACUAAAACCACCCAUUACUUUAAAUUAAAUUUAGAGUUAAUUGUCAAUGACCUAUUUAAGUUUCAGAGUUAAUUAAAAAAAAAUCAGAUUUAAUAAUAGCGUAUAUAAACGUAUACGUUUUUGACGCGUUAACGCGUCACCAGUCUGUUGGAAUAAACUCUCUUGACGCGUAUACGCGUCAUCUGCAUUGAAAGUGUUAAAUACAAUGUAUUUAGGUAGACAUAUUGUAAUUAUAAUUAUGUAUGCUGUUUCAUCCUAGAUGUUUUUUGACCCUUCUAUAAAGGCAUAUAAUUUCAAAUUGAGAUUCACUUUAUUUUUUUUUAUACAAUUUAUAAUUUUUGUUUAGAAGAUUCAAAGUUAAAAUAUUAAGAUGAUUAAACUCACCAUGCGCUAUUUUCAAUUCUUACCAUAUUUAAUCUUAAUUCCUGAUACAUAUUUAAAAUUUAUUAAUUCCCCACUUUUAUGCAGACAAUAGACAUGAAUAUUAAAUGUUGUGCUAAAAUGCAAUGAAUGGCAAUAACCUACAAUAAACUGUGUUCUAUUUAGAAUUAUUAUUAAGAUAUCUUAUUGUGGUUUACUUUUUUGGUGGUUGUAGAAUAACUGAUAAGAGGUUUUUAUUACUGACAUAUUCAUUUGAAAAUUAUUUACUUAUUUAAAUUAUAGUUGAUAUUAUUAGUUUGAUAUUAUGCUAUAUUUUUUGUGUAUUUAUUUAUUACAAUUCUUUAUUAUAGACAUACCUCAGUAAUGAAUUCUAAGGAAUUAAAUACAUGUAUAAUAUAUGUAUGAUAUAUAAUGUUAAUGAUUACUUUUCAGUCUGAUAGUUUGAUGAUUGAACUUGAAAGUUGUAUUUUUAUCCACCACCCAAGAUGAGGUAAUUUUAUUCAUAUAUUUUAUUGCUGUAAGUAUCAAAUGUUUAUUAGUACCUAAAUUAAAUUAUGUCUCUUUUGGUUACAUACUAUUAUAACACAAUUUAUGUAAUAUAUUUGUCAUAUUUGAUUACAAUAUUUAACCACAUAACUCUAAAAUAAUAAUAUACAAAACCUCAAAGCUGUUUUUUACUAAAUUAAUGAACUAACUUGAUUUAAAAUAGUUAUUAAAAGACACAUUUUAUAAGUCAUUGUCUCUAUUCAUAAACAUUCAAUAUUUGAGUUCAGUGGCAAAACAAAAAGGGGCUUCAAGAAGUGAUUGCUUCUCGAUUUUUAAUUUCUCGAUUUGAAAGUGAAAAACAAUUACUAAAUAAUAAUAUUAAUAUUGAUAGUACUUGUAUUUAUUGUUAACUGUUGGUGGGUGAGUGGUUAGGUCAGUUUUAGGUUGUUUAUGUGUUAUUUUACCACUGUUUGAGUUUAAUUACUUUAAUUAGGUAUUUUUUCGUAGUGUUUACUUUUCAAUAACUUAAAUUCUUUUUGUCUUUAUUUUUAAAUUAAAAAUUAGGUAUCAUUAAAUAUGAAUUACCCAAAAUACAUUGGUAGUACAUUAACAGAUAGUAUAAUUUAUCAGUAUAUACUAUUGUAAGUACAAUUUAAAAUAUAGAAUAAACAGUAAACUACUAUGAAAUAUUUGAAUACAUUUCUAAAAAGUCUGUUAUCAUUAGUAUAGUGUAUAUUAUACCAAUACUUUUAUUACAUGUAUUAACUUUUUAGAAAUAAAUCUAAAUAUUUUUGUUUAAUUGAAUGUCUAUUCUAGUUUUAUAAUUUUUUUACUACAAUAUUUACAUAAUAUAAUGUAUGUACUUUUAAAGUUUGAAUAGUAUACUUGCAGUCAUACCAUUAUUACAAUAUUACCUACCUAUUUUAAUAGUAGAUAAUGUUUGUUUCCAAUUGCAUGCAUUUUGUUAUGUUUAAUAAUUAUAAUAAUCUAUUAAAUAAAGUAUAUACUUAAUAAUAAUUUGUAAAUUUAAAAAAUGUUCACAGGUUGUUUAUUCAAUUUACCACGGUAUUCGUGUGAGAAAUGUUGUAAUUCAUAUAAAUAUAAAGCAAACCUCCGUAGACAUGAAAUAUAUGAAUGUGGUAUUGAGAAAAUGUUCAUUUGUACAAUUUGUGAACGUAGAUUUCAUCAAAAAUCUAAUCUAAAUAGGCACUAUAGUUUAUUACACAAUUUAUAAGUUUGAUAUAAUAAAUGUAAUCAACAAAUACUACAUAAUAUGUAUAAUAAUGUAUAUCACCAUGUUUGUUACUGUUGUUAUUAUAUAUUUAUAUAAUUUUAUGAUAUCUUUAUCAGGAGAUAAUAAAAUAGCCCUAGUCCAAACUCAGAAAGUUUUUACUGCUACUUAUUUUUUAUGUACGUUUAAGAUAAAUUGGCAUCAAAAGAUUGAAAAUAGUUGCCGGCUAUACUAUUAUAUAUUAUACAAUUGAAAGGUCCUGUUUUUAUUCACAAAAACUUUAUUUUUAAUAAGCAAUAACAUAUUCAAAUUUUCCUAGAUUAAAACCAUGUCAAAAAAAUCAAAUUCUAUAUUUACCCACCAUUGCCUCAUUUCCAUGUUCUUAUUUGCUUACUAAUUGAGAAACGCUGUGAUAUAUAAAGAAAAAUAAACUAUGUACAGCUUAAUAUUAUAAUUGUAUAAGUGAGGUAAAGACCACAGAAAGAAAAUAAUAUCUUAUGUGUGAGUAUAACUUGGUCAUUUAUUUGUGACUGUGUAUCAGUGUGAUCACAUUUAUAUAUAUAUAAUUUGAAAUACUGUGGGACAAAUUAAAACCGAAAUCUCUUUAAGAUUCUUUAAUAUCUGACAUUGUAGAAUAGAGAGUGAAUGAACAAUUAUAUUUUGUAUGUUACUAUAUAGAAAUACCUAAUAGUAUUACCUACCUAAGUAUUUAUUUUGUUCCUUUUGUACAAAUUAUGUUAAGCAGUGCAUUUUCCUAUUGAAUGAACUGUUAAUGUUAAUGUUACUCUAAUUAUUUUACCCUUAUGUGUUAUUUAGUUAGUUAAAUUAAAUAAAAAUAAUUUGUGUUUUAAACUCAUUGUUAUUAUUUAUUUAUAUUGUUUUAAAUGGGCGGAGCAACAAAAAAAUAUGUAGCAAUCAAUCAAAUAUGCUAUAGACCAACUUAGGAUAUGAUUUAACAAAAAAUAAAUAACAGAUUUUUAUUAAGUAAAAGAUUAAAACAUAAAUUAAUUCUAUACCUAAUUAAAGUAUACAUUAAACCAGGGGCAACCUUUGGCCAGCGGACUGCAUGUGGCCCUCAUAAGUCAUAGUAAUUUUAUGUUUCCCGUAAUUAAAAUGUAUAAUUUGUAUAAAAAUGAAGAACUAAGAUAGUAUGGAUUGAAAUCUGCAUCUGCAUAUUAAAACUUUGUUGGUAGAUACCUUGUUAAAUUAAUAAACCUAACAGUUGAAUAAACUUAAAUAAACUAAAUUUAAUAUGACUUUAUAUUUUUGUUUAAACUAAAAUUAGGUAUAUUCAAAUUGUAGCACGUGAACAAUUUUAUAUUUAUUUCUGGCCCUUGACAUCAAAAAUGUUGGUGGACCUCUGCAUUAAACAAUCUAAUUUAGUUGAAAAAAAAUAUAUAAUUAUUAUCAAGUCACAUAGUUCUAAUCAAAGAAGCAUUUUGAACAAAUUUAUAAAUUGGUAUAGCACAUACACCAUUAAGUUUUAUGUCCGGGAGCUAAAAAGUUUAUUUAUCUAAUUAAUCUGGGCUAUAUAUAAGACAAUUUAAUACUAUUAAUGAAACAAAUGGCUAGCCUUUUCCGUUUUACAUCUAAAUAUUCGAGUUUUAAAUAUAAUAAAAUAAGCUGGAGUGAUCAAAAAAUAUAAAAUGAAUGACAAAUCGGCCUUAGAAAUUGAUUCAAUAAAUUUUAAUCAGACCAACAGUAGACGGUGACCGAUCAACUAAAUUAUAACCAAACAAAAAAAAUAUAAAGAUUUUAGAGAUUGUGAAAUAGUAAAACCUUACAGCAUUAAUUAUUAAUACAAUUGAUUUAUUAAACCAAAUAUUGGAGAUGCAUUGUUUAGAAAUAUCUAAGUAUAAUUUAUUUGCAUCAGUAAUUAGAAUUAUAGAGAACAUUUUGAAACAGUUACUCAUGUAUCAAUUUAAAAAUCUAAAAUAUUUUAAUAUCAUCAGCAAAGAUUAACAUAUUUCAAUUGCUGAAUUUAAUAUCAUUGUAUUUUAUUUAUUAAGUAAUAGUGGAGCUAGAUGGAAACCUUGAGGUACUCUACAAUGUACAUGUUAUAGCGUAUUCAUAAUAUAAUCGAUAAUUAGUUAAAAUUUUAUUUAUUUUUGUCCUAACAAUUUUUAAAAAACUCAAAAUUGUUAUGAUAGUUUGAAAAGUAUGUUCUUUACUUUGAUUUCCUAAAAAAAUCUUUAUAUUAUGAUUUUAGAUGACUAUUCAGAAAUAAACAUAACACAUUAAAAAAUUUGUAAUAAUCUGUUAUUGUGUGACAGUCCACCACAACUAAAUUUAAGUAUACUACCCCUUGAAUACACUACCCAAUUUCCACUACAAUCUAUCUAUUCAAGAACAAUUUAAUAUAUAAACUUUGAAAUUUAAAUUAACAAAACAUUGUUUUUAUUUAGGCAUAAUUGUAUUUAUGUAAAAUAUUGCGUUAGAAUCUUGGAUAAUACAAUUUUUCAUAUACUUUUCUUCACAUUUACUCAGAUAAUAACUAAUAAUUAGUUCUGUAAUUUUAAAAUAGUGAUUCCUAACUAUGCAUGUUUGUUAAAUACUUUUAAAUUAUUAUGGUUUGUUUAGUUGGUGUUAAGCAUUUAUUUAAUAUUUAUUUAAAAAUAUCCUCUUUUGUUUCAGUUAUAAAAUGGUUAGGAUGCUUGGACCAUUUAGCAAAACCUGACCCAGCAAAAUGCCCUAACAAUAAUUGUCAACGGAAAUUUGGCGGGUAUACUAGAAAAUAUAAUUUAAAAAAUCAUCUUCUUAACGAAUGCGGAAUUAUUAUAAAAUGUCAACUGUGCUCUAAACGGUUUGGGCAUCUUAAAAGCCUUCGUUACCACAUGGGAGUUGCACAUGCAACUAUUUUAUAGGUAGUUUCAAAGUUUAUGAAACAAAUUUGAAUUUAUGUUUUAAUACCUAUAAAAAGUAUAAUAAUUGCAUCAUAUUCAAAAUCAUGUUUUACUAUGCAUAUUAUAUAAGUUUUUAUUUGUAUUUAAUAUUUAACUUGAGUACAUUUUAUGUUAUGUAUUAUUUCUAGUAUUUACCUAUGUAUAUUUAUAUAUUUAUAUUCUAGUUGUAUAUGAAAUAAAUUGAAUAAUUUAAAUAUAACUACAACCAUGUACAGACUAAAAAUAGAAACUGUGAAGCUACUAGCCAAACAUAAAACAAAUAAAGUGGAUAUCUAAUUCCAAGUUACAAUAUCACCUUAACCCUUUUUUGUAACAUACUCACUUUCUGGACAACCAUUUACCGUUUUUUUAAAAGUAACUAGUAUUUUGAUCUCUUGCCAUUACUAUUUCAAAUUAAAUUAAUUUGGUCAUGAAGGGUUCAAUCAAUAGACCUUUAUGAUUUUUAUUAUAUUAUUGUUUUUGUAAAUAUUUUUUUAACCUAUUUUCAUAUUGAAAGUUUAAAAUAUAAUAUUAUAACAAGUAUACUAUACUAAGUUACAAUUUCAUAAGUAGUUUCAGUUUUAUUUGUUGAUAAACUAAUAAUUUAAAAUAACUGAUAACAAUUUCUAAUUUGUAAUAUUAUAUUUUAACUUUGUUAAUUAAUAAGGUAACUAAUAUUUUAUUGUUUAGUGGUUGGUUAGCUCUUUUUAAUUUUAUUCGAGAGAUAAAUUUACCGAAUUGUGAAUAAUUUUCAGCGCCUUGUUUAAUAAUUAUUCUGUUUAUUAUUUUUUAAAAUCAUGUCAAGUUAUUUAUGUUUUUGUAAUAUUUUUUUUAAAUGCAUGAUUUAUUGCUUUAAACUUAAUUAAUUAUAUAAUGAGUUAUUAAAGUUAUAAAUCUAUUGGUAUUUUUAGAAAAUUCAUCAGAAUGUAGAUGGGUAUGUCCUAAAAAUUGUGGGCGAACUUACAAAGCAUCCAAACAACUUCAUAGACAUAUGACCGAGUGUGGUGUACCACGUCGGUUUAAGUGUGAUCAAUGUUUCAAGUCUUUCAAACGCAAUGACCAUCUAAAACAACAUUUGAUGUCUUGUUCAGACUUUCCACCCGCAUUCAGCUGCAAAAUUUGCUUAAAAAAAUUCAAUUAUAAAUCCAAUUGGAAAACUCAUAUGGCUUUUAAACAUAAUAUGCUUGACGAGUAUCAAUUAAUAUUUUAAAAUUGUGUUUUAAAUAAAUAGUAUUAGUUACUAUAACAUUGUAAUUAUUAUUAGUGCACACAAAAAUUAUGCACUAAUCUAUAACUAUAGAUGUAAAGUAUAUUAUUAUUACUGUUUAAAUUUAAAUAUAUUUUGUUCUAAAAUGUAUUAAUAAUGUUAAGUAAUUGUUUUAUUCCUAAAUAAAUCCAAUGAAAUGUAAAAUUUAAAUAUAAUUAUACUUAUAGGUAAUUAAAAGUUAUUUAACUAAUUUUUUUUUUGUUGUGAGGAUUGUGUUAUGUGUUGAUAUGUGUAGAGACUUUUAUACUUUGUCAAACUAUAAGAAACCGUUACAAUUUUGUUUACAAGUUUGGCCUAUGGAUUAAAAAGCAAAUAAUUAUUUUUGGCAUUCAGUAUUAAGUAAAAAUUAAAAUACUUGGAGAAAAUUGCAUCUAUGAAAUAAAUAAUAAUAUAAUUUUAUUUAUUUGGUUUCUACAGUUUUUCAAUAAUUAAAUAAUUACUAUAAAUUAUAGUUUUGAUUUUUAAUAUAUAGAUUAGUAAUAUAAAUAAACUGAUUAUACAAAGCAAUACAUAUAUUAUAUUAUACAGCUUAAUAAUAUAAUUUGAUUGCCACAUGGUUUAAUAAUAAUUUAUUUUGGCUAAGUAUAAUAUUAUAACACAUUUAUAUCUUACAUAUGAAUUAAAAUAUAGUUUUGUUCGUUAAGAGAGUUAAUACAUAUUGUAGUAAGUGUCAUGAUGUGAUAAAUACUGAAGCAUUAAUUUUUUUUGUAAAAUAGUUUAUUAUUUAAAUACUAUUCUACAUUAGGAUACUAACUAUGCAUGUGUUGUCUCAGUCAUACAAACAUAUAACAUCUACAGUUUGAAUUUAUUAGACCCAAUUGUGUGUAGGUAGCUUAAACGUAAGUGUGAAUUGACCUAUUUUCAAACUUUCAGCCUAAAGGUAAGAACAUAUCUGUAGUAUCGUGUUUUUUUUUUUAAAUAUUUCAUAUGUAUCUUAUAUAAUAUAUCCUUUAUUAUAGGCAUUUUUAAUGUAUGAUAUUUCACAUGCUCAAAUGUUAAAAUAAAAAUAAAAAUAUUGAAAAUGAGCUGAAGCUGAGAUAACGUUUUUACCUUUAAGUUUGAUAAUAAAAUGGAGACAACACAGGUGUAGUGACGUCAUAAUAUAGGAUAUUCUGCAAAAGGAUCAAUUUAAAAGAUCUUAAAUACUUGUAGAAUUUAUUGUUAUUAGUUACCGUAAAAAUUUAUAUUUAGUGGAUUCUAUUUUGCUUUAUUUAUAAGUGUGUUUUUAUUAAUUCAAAAUGUAUAAGUUAUAACCAUUUUUGUAUUAAUUUCUCAUUAAAUUAAUAUUUUAAUACUAGACAUCUUAUAAAAGAAUCUUGUUUAGUUCAAUUAAGGGAUAUCAUAUAUAUUUGUGACGUAAAACUGUACUUAUUAUACUGAAAGACAGGUGUAAUUAGUUUAUCAAAAACAAAUUCCAUAUUGGUAGUUUGAAAUUCAAUCUGCACAUUAUGAAAGACUGUAAUUACACCAUUACACAAAUAUAACUGGAAAAUUAUUGUUACAAAAGUAUACUCUAAAUAAAUUUAAGUGUUCAUAGUUUAUUAUAUCUUUAUGAUUUAUGGUCAAAAAUCAAUUUAUUAUUGAUAUGGAGUGUUUUUACUGGGAUUACUAUGUAUUGUUUCGUUUAAUGGAUGCUAUUUAAAACACUAGUACUUUAACUAUGAAAUAUGUGUAUAGGCUAUUGUAUAUUAAAUAUAAAAAAUAUAUAUUAAUAUGCAUGCUUAUGUUCAGUGGUGAAGCAUCAUAGGAAACAAUGAUACAACCUACAUAGAAUACGGAAUAAUUAUUUUAUUUUAUUUUACAAAUUUAAAUAUAAUAAUAUAAAAUAUAUUAUCAUAAACCCAUUAAAAUUUUUUUUAUAGUAUUCUUAGAAUAGACAAGUUGCGAACCAUGCACGUGCCCUGGUGGUCUCGUGUUCGGUUUUUGAUUUACAGUUUGUGUAUUUCUGGUAUGAUAUUGUCUAAUAUACUCAUAGUAUAAAUAAUAUUGUCAUUAUCUCUGAUUUAUUUUAUUUUUUUCAACGUCUCCUUGACUUAUAGACUCACAACUCGCCACUGCUUAUACUUGUACAGUACCUAAUGCAUUUUGUACUAAUAUUCAUAUUAUAUUUACAAAUAUACAUAUACUUUAUUAGGUAAUAUUGUACUAUAUUUAUGUUUUGAAUAAUAAAAUAUUUUUUAAUUUUAGAGCCAUACAUAUGUUUACAAUGUGGACGUCAAUACAAAACCAAGACCGGUUUUCAGUACCAUCUACGCGUUGAGUGUGGAAAGCCCCCAGAGUUUCGUUGCUCUAUAUUCGUUCCUGUUUUACCAAAAAAAUGUAUUUGUGGAAUUAUUUCCCAUGGAUUAUGUAUUAAAUUGUUUGUACCCUCCUAUCAAUGUCCUAAUUGUUAUCGGCUGUACACAUACAGUAGGGGAUUGGCAAGACAUAUUAAAUAUGAAUGUGGAGUUGAAUGGAAGUUUCCAUGCGUUAUGUGCAACAGGCCAUUCAAACGUAAAGAGCACCUUCGUAGACAUAUGAUAUUUAUACAUAAACAACAUUAUAUCUAAUUUAAUUAUUUCUCAAAUUAUAAUAUUUUUAAUAUAUAAUAAUUAAAAUGUUAAUAGUAUAGAAUUUACAUUUCAGGUUUUAAUUAUUUUUCAGAUUUUUACUUAUUAUCAGAUGUGUAUUAUUAGUAUUCUCAAUCUGAGUAAGGGAGUUGAAUUAUGAAAUGUAACUAGAAAUAAAAAUAAUAAUUCAUCAUGUA